Molecule: ribosomal RNA, 505 nt
Filed under: uncultured bacterium
Lineage: Bacteria
Description: partial 16S ribosomal RNA
Rfam family: Bacterial small subunit ribosomal RNA
Source: RNAcentral
GACGAACGCUGGCGGCGUGCCUAAUACAUGCAAGUAGAACGCACAGUUUAUACCGUAGCUUGCUACACCAUAGACUGUGAGUUGCGAACGGGUGAGUAACGCGUAGGUAACCUGCCUGGUAGCGGGGGAUAACUAUUGGAAACGAUAGCUAAUACCGCAUAAUAUUGAUUAUUGCAUGAUAAUUGAUUGAAAGAUGCUAUUGCAUCACUACCAGAUGGACCUGCGUUGUAUUAGCUAGUAGGUGAGGUAACAGCUCACCUAGGCGACGAUACAUAGCCGACCUGAGAGGGUGAUCGGCCACACUGGGACUGAGACACGGCCCAGACUCCUUCGGGAGGCAGCAGUAGGGAAUCUUCGGCAAUGGACGAAAGUCUGACCGAGCAACGCCGCGUGAGUGAAGAAGGUUUUCGGAUCGUAAAGCUCUGUUGUAAGAGAAGAACGGGUGUGAGAGUGGAAAGUUCACACUGUGACGGUAUCUUACCAGAAAGGGACGGCUAACUACGUG